Solanum stenotomum is the source of this 365-nucleotide long non-coding RNA. RefSeq lists it as uncharacterized. The record is from RefSeq and is a predicted model, not a curated record. The transcript is spliced from 3 exons. Lineage: Eukaryota; Viridiplantae; Streptophyta; Magnoliopsida; Solanales; Solanaceae.
AGCAAAGAAUUUAUCAGGAGGAUUUGCUAAAUUUGGAGGGCUAGCCAAACUUCAUUUUGAAGAAAGACAUGUUGAAAAUUAUAAGGAUGAUAAAGAAGAAGAAGAUUUGAUUAAGGUUGAAUAUCACAUUUUCCCAAAAAACACAUUUUGUAGUGGAGCUACAUUUGUUCCAAAACUUGAUGGUGUUGAUGAAGAUGAUGGUUGGAUUGUGGCAUUCACACACAAUGAAAAUACAAAUCAAUCUCAAGUUUAUAUAGUUGAUGCAAAAAACUUUGAAAGUGAGCCAAUUGCCAUAAUCCUAUUACCUAAUAGAGUGCCAUAUGGAUUCCAUGGAGCUUUUAUGCCAUUCAACUUAUAGAUAGUGU